AGAGUUUGAUCCUGGCUCAGGACGAACGCUGGCGGCGUGCCUAAUACAUGCAAGUAGAACGCUGAGAACUGGUGCUUGCACCGGUUCAAGGAGUUGCGAACGGGUGAGUAACGCGUAGGUAACCUACCUCAUAGCGGGGGAUAACUAUUGGAAACGAUAGCUAAUACCGCAUAAGAGAGACUAACGCAUGUUAGUAAUUUAAAAGGGGCAAUUGCUCCACUAUGAGAUGGACCUGCGUUGUAUUAGCUAGUUGGUGAGGUAAAGGCUCACCAAGGCGACGAUACAUAGCCGACCUGAGAGGGUGAUCGGCCACACUGGGACUGAGACACGGCCCAGACUCCUACGGGAGGCAGCAGUAGGGAAUCUUCGGCAAUGGGGGCAACCCUGACCGAGCAACGCCGCGUGAGUGAAGAAGGUUUUCGGAUCGUAAAGCUCUGUUGUUAGAGAAGAAUGAUGGUGGGAGUGGAAAAUCCACCAAGUGACGGUAACUAACCAGAAAGGGACGGCUAACUACGUGCCAGCAGCCGCGGUAAUACGUAGGUCCCGAGCGUUGUCCGGAUUUAUUGGGCGUAAAGCGAGCGCAGGCGGUUUUUUAAGUCUGAAGUUAAAGGCAUUGGCUCAACCAAUGUACGCUUUGGAAACUGGAGAACUUGAGUGCAGAAGGGGAGAGUGGAAUUCCAUGUGUAGCGGUGAAAUGCGUAGAUAUAUGGAGGAACACCGGUGGCGAAAGCGGCUCUCUGGUCUGUAACUGACGCUGAGGCUCGAAAGCGUGGGGAGCAAACAGGAUUAGAUACCCUGGUAGUCCACGCCGUAAACGAUGAGUGCUAGGUGUUAGGCCCUUUCCGGGGCUUAGUGCCGGAGCUAACGCAUUAAGCACUCCGCCUGGGGAGUACGACCGCAAGGUUGAAACUCAAAGGAAUUGACGGGGGCC
This 931-nucleotide ribosomal RNA is filed under the name Streptococcus pyogenes ABC020030063. RNAcentral's name for it is "bacterial SSU rRNA". It matches the Rfam family "Bacterial small subunit ribosomal RNA", at positions 8 to 921 of the family's 1533-position model. The record is from RNAcentral. Lineage: Bacteria; Bacillati; Bacillota; Bacilli; Lactobacillales; Streptococcaceae.